UGAAAGCCGACAUGGAGACUAAGCAAA
Molecule: non-coding RNA, 27 nt
Filed under: Rattus norvegicus (Norway rat)
Lineage: Eukaryota; Metazoa; Chordata; Mammalia; Rodentia; Muridae
Source: RNAcentral